UCUCCGUGAUCGGUGGACGGAACACUGUGCAUUUGUCGCGUGUGGGACUGGGGGCCCACUCAGCACAGUGGCGGGAAAAGCAGGCAAGCAGCUACAGGGAAGACACACAGCAGCCAGAAGUCGCGGUCGCGGUCGCAGGAUUGAGGCC
RNAcentral lists this non-coding RNA (148 nucleotides) under Stygamoeba regulata. The record is from RNAcentral. Lineage: Eukaryota; Discosea; Stygamoebida.